GAUGAACGCUGGCGGCGUGCCUAACACAUGCAAGUCGAGCGGCAGCGAGGGGUGCUUGCACCCUGUCGGCGAGCGGCGGACGGCUGAGUAACGCGUGGGAACGUGCCCCAAAGUGAGGAAUAACUGCCCGAAAGGGUAGCUAAUACCGCAUAUUAUCUUCGGAUCAAAGGAUUUAUCCGCUUUGGGAGCGGCUCGCGUCGGAUUAGGUAGUUGGUGAGGUAAUGGCUCACCAAGCCGACGAUCCGUAGCUGGUCUGAGAGGAUGACCAGCCAGACUGGAACUGAGACACGGUCCAGACUCCUACGGGAGGCAGCAGUGAGGAAUCUUCCACAAUGGGCGAAAGCCUGAUGGAGCAACGCCGCGUGCAGGACGAGGGCCUUCGGGUUGUAAACUGCUUUUAUAAGUGAGGAAUAUGACGGUAACUUAUGAAUAAGGAUCGGCUAACUACGUG
This 451-nucleotide ribosomal RNA is filed under the name uncultured bacterium. Its description in RNAcentral is "partial 16S ribosomal RNA". It matches the Rfam family "Bacterial small subunit ribosomal RNA", at positions 28 to 507 of the family's 1533-position model. The record is from RNAcentral.